This 4076-nucleotide long non-coding RNA is filed under the name Sus scrofa (pig). Its description in RNAcentral is "lncRNA (ENSSSCG00045028353.1)". Lineage: Eukaryota; Metazoa; Chordata; Mammalia; Artiodactyla; Suidae. The record is from RNAcentral.
GUAUUUGGUGGGGCUGGAGCACUAGUCUUACAGAACCACACAUCUAUUUGAGCUGUAAAACACCCAAGGGAGGAGAUAGCCCCCAGAAACAGUCAGGUGUGAGAUAUUAUUCCAAGGAACAGGAGGUUUUCUAAGGGAAAUAUUAAUUUGUGUAAAGCAAGGUGUCAGCUCGAAACCCCCCAGCAGGGUAGGGGGACAUAUUAAAAGGAUUAUGGAGCAAAAUGGUAAAUGGUAGUAUUAUCCUAGGGCUAGAGUAAAAGAUGGUGCUAAGUUACACCACAAGUGCUGUGGUUGGUAGUUUCCUCAUUUCAGCAAACGUAUUACUGGGUUAUGAACCAGAGGAGGGACUGACUGUGGUAAAUUAGAAGCCACAGAAAGGGUUUGGAGCGUGCCACCACAGAGCCUGGCACUGUGACAUAAAGGUUAUCUUGAGCCAAUAGCACUUGAGAAUACACAGAGUCAAGAAAAACGCUUUGCCCCUCCCCUCUCUGCCAGGAAGUACAGGACAAGUCUUCAUCAUCAGAGACAACUCCAGACUCAUCAACCCAAAGAGCGCACUAGAGAAACCUACACAGACAGCCUUAUUAACUAACCCUUUUCUUUCACUAGUCUUCUUAUAUAUUGACCUUCGCACAGUUUGCAGCCCAUAGAAGCUAAACAACUUUUCCUUUGUCUUGUCAUUUCUCUAUAAAACUAUUGCUUUGUUAAGAUGCUCUAGAAGCCCCAAGUUCUAACCACCUCUUCUGUUGGAGAAGAUCAUCCAUCAGAUGUGACCAGUGGUUGACCUGGAAGCUGGACCUAGGUAGCUAGCUGGAGCCUCCGCACCCCACCCCCUGUCCUUGGAAUAUGUGUUCCCCCCACCGUUCCCACCCUAGGAGUCACUUUGGGGAUGCAGCCUUGAGAGAGCAAUGUGCUACUGAGACCAUCUGGACUGUGCAUGCGACUGAACCUCUGUAUAAACUUAUAAGAUUCUGCUAGGUAAGUGGGCAGAGCUGUUCAUUUUGCAGGGCCCAUCAAGCCUCAAACAUUAAGUUCCCUUGUUUGUAAAUCGGCCACCCACCAAUCUGAAGUGGCCCACCUUCUUCCCUGGUCUCUCCUUGGCCUCCAUGUUCAGGGGCCAGUUUGCAAACCAACACUUUUGAAUUCCUGAUCACUGAGUUUCCCAUGUCUAUGCUCCAGAUGCACAUUAGCAAACUUCUGGUUGUUGUUGUUUCCUUCUUAUUCUCUCUCUUGUCAACCUAAUUCACAAGGCCCCAGGCUGUGAACCCUAAGAAGGUAGAGGGAAAAAGUACAUUCCUCCACACUAACACCAUCAGGCAUGUCUGAAUGAUCAAUACCAAGAGCAGAAGAAGGCAGCUAUGACCUGGGCGCCAUACCCUGCAGUCUGGAGCAUCAUGGUGGUAAGAGGAGCACAGGAAAAGGAGGACAGGAGGACAGUAUUGCUGCUAAUCGCUAUCUGUGUGGUCUACACUCUAGUGAUCCCCAGAAGAUCAGAGGAAAGAUUUAGGCCUGGAGGUGGGGUGCGGUAGGGGUGGGGGGUGUGUCUUACACAUCCCUAAACAGGACUUGAGUCAGAGAAAUCUUACUGUGAUACUCCAAUCUAGCUAUUGCAUGCCUCAGUGGAACGGCUCUCCUGCCUGAGAACACAAGGGUUACACACAUCUGCCUGGUAUAUCACAGGCAGACUUCAUUUCAUUGCACUUUACUGCAUUCACAGUUAGGCAUUUCCUACACAUUGAAUAUUUGUGGUAACCCUGUGUCAAGUGAGUCUGUCAGCGCUAUUUUUCCAACAGCAUUUGCUCACUUCUUGUUUCUGUCACAUCUUGGUAAUUCUCACAGUAUUCCAAGCUUUUCAUUAUUAUUCUGUUUGUUAUAGAGAUCUGUAAUCAGUGGCCUCUGAUGUUACUACUGUAAUUUGCUGAAGGCUCAGAUGAUGGUUAGCAUUAUUUAGCAAUAAUGUUUCUCUUUUUUCUUUUUGGCUGUGCCCAAGGCAAGUGGAAAUUCUCCGGUAGAGAUCAGACUUGUGCUACAGAAGUAACCAGAGCCACAGCAGUGAUAACACUGGAUCUUUAACCUGAUGAGCCACCAGGGAACUUCACAAUAAAGUAUUUUUUAAUUAAGAUAUGUACUUGGGGAAUUUACGUCAUGGUGCAGUGGAAACGAAUACAACUAGGAACCAUGAGGUUGCGGGUUCAAUCUCUGGACUCACUCAGUGAGUUAAGGAUCCAGCAUUGCUGUGAGCUGUGGUGUAGGUCUCAGAUGUGGGUCAGAUCUGGCGUUGCUGUGGCUGUGGUGUAGCCCGGCAGCUACAGCUCCGAUUAGACCCCUAGCCUGGGAACCUCCAUAUGCCGCGGAGCGGCACUAGAAAAGGCAAAAAGACAAAAAAAAAAAAAAAAAAAAAAAAAAGAUUAGGUCAACCUGUUGCUGAAUCACUUUCUAUCCAUUGAUAGACAGUUUCAUUCAAAACAAAACCAAAACCAAUGGCUACUUUCUCUAUAUGCUUAAAAUUAUAGAUGUAUGUUCUGUAAGCAGUGGCUAAAAAGAAAAUGUGCCUGUUUUUGACUAAAGAAAAUCAUAUUUGUUAAGGCCAACUAUAGUGGGAAGUACAUUUCAAAUAGUUAAAUAAGUUAUUUGGACUCUAAAGGAAAAACAACUUUUUUGUUGCUCUAAAUUUUUACAGAAAUUUAAAAUCUAUAUCUACCAAUAAGAAGAGGGCAGUGAGACAAUUAUUUUUUCUACCAUAUGCUAAGAAGGGACUGUAUGCCACAUGUAUUAUUAUUUUAAGUUUAUUUUCUUUUGGCUUCUAAUAACAACUUUAUGAGCUAUUGUUACGAUGUCCAUUGUGUGAGUGAAGAAGCUUAUUCUUAGAGGGCUAAGGUCAGGAAACAGGCCCAGGACUGCACAACUGGAAAACAGCAGAGCGGAGAAGAGGACCCAGUCCCCUGGACUGCAAAAUCUAUUCUCUUCCCACUAUCUUAUGGGGCCCAAUUAUACUUUGAUCUACAAGAUCUCAGAUCACACUCUUCAAAACUGUUGUAGGGAAAAGAAUCACAUGAAUGCAGUAGGUCCUCUAUGUAGGAUAUAAGGUCCACACAUUUCAGCCUGGCCAACAAUAGACAAGUAAAUAUGAGAGAGAAACAUCCAUUCUCUUUAGUCAAUUUCUAGUCAAGGCGGUCAUAUUGAAAAUACCUUUUAAAGAUGUGACUAAAUAUGAAGAAUUAGUCUCUCUUCCUUCCUUUCCUAGACAUUGUGGCAUUAAGACUGGCAUUUUUUCCCCUUAAAUUGCAGACUAAGGUGAUUCUCUUUCAUAGCGUCCGAUACGAAAUACAAAAGGAAAAAAAUCCAACUAUAAUAUAAACACUGUUGCCUCCCACCCACCACACACACAAGUUUCAAAGGUAAGAAAAACAAAUAUAUCAUAAUCACAAAAUGCAUCUAUACAACGGAAUAACUACUCAGCAAUAGAAACAUACUGACAACUGACAUGAAACAACAUGAAUGAACUGCAAACAAAUGGUGCUGAAUGAGAAAAGGCAGAGACAAAAGGCCACUUACUUAAUGAAUCCAAUGAUAUGACAUUCUGGAAAAAGCAAAGUAAAGGAACAGAAAUUAGAUCAGUUGCAGAGGGUGAGUAGAGGAGGAAAUUAACUAAAAGGGGCAUGAGGAAAGUUUUACCUGAUAGAAAUAAGGGGUUCCAUGACUACGUACAUUUUUUAAAACUCAAAGGAUUAUUUGAAAAGGAUAAAUUAUACCUUAAUAAUCAUGACUUUAAAUUCUUUUUAAACUCAAAUUAAGGGAGUUCUGGAUGUGGGGCAAGUUAAGAACCCGACUAGUAUCCAUGAAGAUGUGGGUUUGAUCUCUGGCCUUGCUCAGUGGGUUAAGGAUCCAGCGUUGCCACAAGCUGUGGCAUAGGUUGCAGAUGUGGCUCUGACUUGGCAUUGCUGUGGCUGUGACAUAGGCCAGCAGUUGCACCUCUGAUUCAGCCUCUGGACUGGGAACUUCCAUAUGCUGCAGGUGCAACCCUAAAUAGGAAAAAAAAAAAAUUCCAAAUUAAAAAGAAAACGUGUCUAUAGCAA